CUGAGCAGAGAUCAAGAGUUGGAUGCUUAACUAAUGUAGCCACCCAGGUGCCCCAAAGUCCUAGGAGACAGAGCCAUUAUUGUCCCUACAUGGCAGACAGCAAACUGAAGCACAAAGGUUUUCUGGCCAUAUCUCAGACACCCUGGCUUUCACAGGAUCCACCGAGAAAAAGUGCUGAAGCACAAUAGUCAGCAAGAAGUAUUGGAUUUCCUCUGCUCUGAAUGUAGAACCAUUAAGAUGAAGAAAACUACCCAGAGAGUUAAUCUGUAAGAAGUACUAAAACAGUACUGGGUAGGAAAGAGAGAGAAUCUUCACUACUAUCUUCCUACUCCAUCCUUCUGGCAGUCAGCACUCAGCUUCUCCUCUAAAGAAAUGGUGAACAAAUAUUUAAAGAUCUUUGAGUUGAAGUGGUAGAAAAAUAGGAGUCUAUCUAAGGGAAGUAUAUGUCCAUGUCUGGCCUGCAUGAAUGAUCAAUCAACUGUGCGAGAAAAUGUUAACCUUGUUCUUUUAGAAAGCGCUAAGGUCAUGAGUCUUUUGGUUACAAUGGUAAUCACCUAGAAGUUGAAACUACCUUAUGUAAAUUAUUGGUAUCUUUCUGCCUUGCAUAUAUGUAACAGUAUAUCAGUUCUCUAGUACUUUCAUAAGUGCAAAUACCUUCUUACUUAAAAUGGGUAAUUCUGUCUUAGAGGAAUGCGACAGUAUUUUCAAAUUUGCCUGCCCCUGUCCUUUGCCCUCAAAGUAUCAACUCAACGUUCAGCUUGCAAUAGGUAAAUAGAUGAAUCCGUCCAAGCUUUGCCAAGACCCUAUGAUGCUGGGUAGGACUCUCCUUCCACAACUCUGAUCACUUCCAUUAACAUCCUCUCCGGUCUUUCAUUUAAAAAUACUAGAUUGGCUGUUAUGUACCAGGAACUACAACCGUGCACUGAACUUGAGAAGUGAAAAUUAAGGUCCUGCCCUCAGGGAGACUCAGUCCUUGUGGGAGGAGAAACACAGACAAAUACACCUAAGAUACCAUGUGACUUGGCUAUAAUGGAGGUUGUCACAGGUACAAUAGGAACACAGAGGAAAGAAAGUGUCAAUCUCCAAAAAUUGACUUCACUUGGAAAGUACUCUUGAGUAACAAAAUACACAAAAAUGUUCCUAGUCAUUAUUUCUGCAUUGGUGAAUUCAGGAUAUUGAUUUUCUUCUUUAUACUUUCUUCAUUUUAAAAACAAUAUGCUCAGUUUGGAAGGAAUGUGUCCUUGUCUCACCACUUGACUUUUCUGGGACCUACAGCUCAAUGACAGAUUAAGCUCCAUGCCUGGUAUCUAACUUGUUUAGCUCAAAUGAUGGCUGGCUAAAACUGCAGCAGGCAUUCUUUUACAAACCCCAUCACACCCUCAGCACAUUCUGCUUAUACCCUGACCAAGGAGGGAGAUGGUCUUCUCUACCUACAGAGAAUUGAACAGAGCAUUAAGAACUACAACUUACUUCCAUCAGCCUUAGGAGGCAUGGAAUUUCCUCCCAUAUCUAUAACGCAAGUGCUAGGCAUAGUUCUUCAUUUUUUUUUGUUUGUGUUCUCAUACGUAUUUUAGAGAGAAAUUAGGAUAGGCUGCUUCAAGGGGCCACAAGCCAGCUGUGGUGGUGGUGGUGGUUGGGUUGACAACUGCAAAGUAGUAUGAUUUUUCUUUCCAUUUUAGCAAGUGAGGAAGACAUCCUCAGGAUAAAAACAAACAAAAAACAGCAAACUCAUAGGAUUUCCUCCAGUGUCUGUUGUGUAGAGGCAGCAGAGUCAGGUUGUAGGAUUUUUCUAUAAUUGGUGGCUUAAGGGCUGGUGUGGAAGAAAAAUACAAAUGUUGCCAAGUGCUUGUAGGGAAAUAUUUCAAGUGGCAGACUAAGUGGUCCAGGCUUGGUAAGAAAGGAAUUAUGACCAAAAAUGGCUGACAGAGAAAGUAGCAGAAUUAAGAGCUCUAAAUGUGUCAUUUGAAGUUCCAGCUUCUGGCAUUGAAGAAGUGAAAAUGCCAUAAAGACUGAUUAUAAAGUCAUGAAUUAGUAAGCUUUCAAAGAUGGGGUAGUGCUGUGUGGUGCAAAGUACCAAGCAAGGCUACCAAAGUUGGAUGUGAAGUUGAUGAAAAAUGAAGGUCAUGGAUUUGAUGACAUCAAAGAGCUGUGAGAUUAGGAGGAUGAAAGGUCAUCAGUAUGGGCAUCAAAACCAACAGGAUUGAUGGCAGAUUUUAAGUGGAGAGGAAGAAGCGAACCUGAGUGACAAUUUCCUUAUGGAAUAUCAUGAAUGAUCUGGAUGUUGGUAGAUGACAGUGAGAAAGAGUAGUGAAGAGACGCUGAUGAUCCCUCCCACUGCAGAGAUUAAGCUUUUAACAGAAACCCAGCGUCAUUAUUCUCAGGGGUUAAUAAAGUUACUGUUUUGUAGGGAAAAUGAAGGCUGGAGUUACCAAGGGUUUAGGAAAGGGUUUAGGAAAAUUCUGAGGGGAAGGAAUAUAGAGAAGUAUAGGGAUAAGGAGGUGGCAGAAGAAGGACCACUGGGUGGGAUCUGAAUCUCAGUGGUAACUGAAUUUUACAGGGAUGAGAAACAUGAGAGAAUUUUCCCUAAGUUUCUCAUAUUACAACAUUGCUGAGGUACAUCUGGGUGAUGCCAUGUGGUACUGCCUUGUACUUUCCCACGUCUUCACCUCCUCUUCUCUUCUUGGAGACCAAAUGGCUUAUGUUAAAGAGUCUAUAAAUUUGAUGUCAGGCCAAAUCUGAAAAUGUGUAGGUUAUCUGACCUCUCAAGCUUCUGAAUUUGCUAUGAAUUUAUUUAAGUCACAUCCCAGGUCCCUGACAACAUUUGGGUGUGUGACUUCUGUUCUAAAAUCUAACUUUUCAUCAAAUCAGAGCAUCAGAGAGCUGGACCUCACUGUUUCGUCCCUAGGCAGACUGCUAUGAGGAGGUCAAAUAAACUUGCUUUAUUUAUGAAAGGGAUGGGGGAAAGAUAACUCUGGCUGGAGUCUCAGUAAUGGAGUGGAUUUUUCCGGACAAGAAAGGAAGGGGGAAGGGUAUGAGAGAAUGUUGGCUUGAACUAGACUGGUCAUGGUAGAGAUAAAGUAGAUGAAUCCAAGUAGUUUUGGAAGUGGAUGGCUUGCCGAUGAACUGAAUGAAAAUUUGAAUGUACUUCCAGAAAUUCUACCAAUUAGAAAUUCAUUGGGUUUGAAAGCUUCUUUUAUAAAAAUGCAAAUACAUCUAAGAGGCUUACGACUGGCGUGAGGGUGUAAUUUAGUCUGAAUUAGUUCCAUCAGCUUAUUUUCUGCUAUCACCUAGCUGAAGUCAGUCAUACUAAAGAGAUGAGUUUUAUUUGGGGAAAGAAUGUUUUGCAUAAAGGAUAUAAUCAUGGGUGGGACAGGAAGUGGAAAUCUUUGGAAAGACAGAAAUAUGAAGGAACACACAGGAGACACAGAGAGGGGAUGUCAGCAUUUGAGAGGACAAAGAACAAGCAAGCUGGCCUUCUCUGAAAGUUUGCCUGAUUGCCUUGUAGAGACAAGUCCCCAGUCCUUAACAAUGGCUUGUAGACUUGCUUGAAGGCAAAUAUAGCAGAGGGGAUGAAAAAAAAAUGAAACCACAAAAGUCCUCAAAUGGUAUUAGGCAUUGGCAAUUUCCCAUAUUGCUUUGUUUAAAUCCAAGCUAAGCUACCCAAUUCCUUGACAAUAUUUCGCUGACAUCAUAUGACAAAAAGGAAUUUUUAGACCUGAAAUAUUAAAAACAAUCAUCAGUGCCAUGUGAAUAAAUAACUUAUUGAUCAAUGCUUAAGAAUAAUUUCAAUUAUGUUAUUUUAAACAUAUGUUUUAUGCUUGAUAGGAAACAUCUCUAAUUUUUUAAAGUCCAGUCUUCUUUAGAUACAACAGAUUAUUUUUUUAUUGUUUUCCUUUUUCUUCAUGUAUCCACAUUUUAUUAUAAAAAUGAGGAUACAGAUCCUAAAGCGUUCAAAAUGCUACCUAUGCAUCGAGUCUGGGUACAUUUCAAGCUUCACGUGAAAGCCAAUGCUGAGAGCUAAGA
Molecule: long non-coding RNA, 4023 nt
Organism: Zalophus californianus (California sea lion)
Lineage: Eukaryota; Metazoa; Chordata; Mammalia; Carnivora; Otariidae
Exons: 3
Source: RefSeq, a predicted model, not a curated record